RNAcentral lists this unclassified non-coding RNA (225 nucleotides) under uncultured fungus. RNAcentral's name for it is "sequence contains ITS1, 5.8S rRNA gene". The stretch from base 177 to 225 matches the Rfam family "5.8S ribosomal RNA", at positions 1 to 49 of the family's 154-position model. The record is from RNAcentral. Lineage: Eukaryota; Fungi.
UCUCCGUAGGUGCACCUGCGGAGGGAUCAUUACUGCGUGAGGGCUUCGGUCCGACCUCCAACCCUUUGUGAACCAAACUUGUUGCUUCGGGGGCGACCCUGCCGCGUCGACGGCGAGCGCCCCCGGAGGCCUUCAAACACUGCAUCUUUGCGUCGGAGUUUAAGUAAAUUAAACAAAACUUUCAACAACGGAUCUCUUGGUUCCAGCAUCGAUGAAGAACGCAGC